RNAcentral lists this long non-coding RNA (25258 nucleotides) under Cucumis sativus (cucumber). Its description in RNAcentral is "long non-coding RNA (CSAT_LNC001784)". Lineage: Eukaryota; Viridiplantae; Streptophyta; Magnoliopsida; Cucurbitales; Cucurbitaceae. The record is from RNAcentral.
GCCUUUGCACUGCCAUUAAAGCUAGCGUUCUGGGGAACAAGAUUAAAAUCCCACUCCACCUUAGCUUGCUCCUUAACGUUUGCAACAAGAAUCUUCCCAAUGGAUUCCAAUGCUGAUUUUAAUUCAGUAUUUCCGUAUUUUUGAAUUCUUGAAUGUUUUGAUGUCUUGUGGUUCUAUGUUGUGUUAAUUUAAUUAUUACCAUUUAUUCUGGGUUGUAGAAUUGGUUUCAUUGGUUGUUUUUCUUUUAAAUAGUUCUUUGAUCAAUAAAGUUUUAAUCUUUUUCCAAAAAAUUGGUGGAUUCAAUUACUGAUUGUUGUCUUGUAAAUUUCUACAUUUCUACAGCUUUUAAACACGCAAAGCCAAUAAGUUGUGCACCAAAGUAAACUUCUAGCUAGUUUAACUGUAGUAUUAAAUUUUGAUUGAUAGACGGAUAUCUUUUUUAAAAGGGGUGCAACACGAGGACUUCCCAAGUGGUCACCCAACUUAGUACUACUCUCGUCGAAGCACGCUUAACUGUGGAGUUCUGAUGGGAUCUGAUGGGAUCUGGUGCAUUAGUGCUGGUAUGAUCGUAUCCAUAUUCAUAUUUUCACGUUUUUAUGAUUAAAGAGUGAAUUGAUAUUUUCCUUUUAUAGAUAUUUUCAUCAAUAUUUUUGUAAAAUUAACACGUCGGUAUUUCCAUUAAAAUCUCGACAAUUUAAACAUUAUGUUUGACAAAUAAUUAUUAAAAUUCGGUUAGUGUAUUCCUUAGAAAAAUAAACUCAGAAAAAAAAAACUAUCGCUGGAAGGUAAACAUAGUUUGUAUAAUUGUGGUUAUCAAAUAAUAUUUAGUUCAUUCCUAAUUAUAAUUGUAUGCGAAGAUAUGUCAACCUAGUUAUGAUAUAUCUAAAUGGACCUCUUGCUCUUGAUCCAUAUUCCUUUUAAGUAUGUAUCAUCGUGAUUGAACUGAGAACAAAGAUUUAAUGUUAUAGUUAUUGCAUAUUCCUUUUAAGUAUGGAUCAUCGUGAUUGAACUGAGAACAAAGAUUUAAUGUUAUAGUUAUUGCUUUUGAAAAAAGAUUUAUGGCUCACUUUGACAAUUCAAACCCAUAUCCAACAAUUUAUUCAUUCUAUAUAUUCAAAAUCGCGUUGCACCAUUUCAAACUAUGUUAUUGACAACUUAUCUCAAUUUGAGUGUAUACUAAUAACUAUCAAAUUCGUUAUAAGUUUUGAGACUAACAAAAGCGAAGUGAAGACACAGUUAUACAAGGAGACACUAGUUUGAAAUUGUAGUUAUGCCCAAAUUUGAUUUUAAUUAAUUUCUUUUUUGACGUUAACUUUUUUUUUAGCUAUUAGGUAAUUCAAUCAAUUUUCUUUUACUACAAAACAUAAAUUAAUCAACCAGAAAAAAUCUUCAGCGAAUUGAAAAUUGAAAUAUAUCGAGUAUGAUAUACUUUUCGAAAAUAAUUCAUUAGACAAAAGAGGGAUCAAAGGUGCACUAAGACAUCUCAACUAACGAUAUAAAAAAUGCAAGCCACUUAAGCGAUAUAGAAGUAAGGUUAUUAAUUAAGUGAACUUUUGGAGAUGAAAGAGCAGCAAGAUUAAGAAUAUCUUCCCAAAUGUGACUGGAAGAUUUUCUACCACUUUUUAAAGUACGAUCAUUUCGCUCCAACGAUAAGCCCCACAACGAAGAAGCUCCAAUAAGGCAACCAAAUAAAGUGUUCCUCUGUGGUGUGUUAUAUUUAAGUUGAUGAAGUUUAAGAAGGACAUCCAAAGAAGAGGGAAGGAUAUUACCAGCAUCCAACAACAUGUAAAAGCAACACCAAAUAUCAUGAAAAUAAUUGCAAGAAAUGAAUAAGUGGUCAAGAGUUUCACAGUGACUCUUGCAAAGGACAUCAAUUUAGAUUGAGAUUGAGAGAGGGAAAUCUGAGUUGCCAUUUGUGGAUGGUGUUAAUAUCUUCAUGUAACAGAGCCCAAUUAAUGAAGAUUUUACAUUUUUUUGGAUAGAUUAUUACUUCAGACCGACCUGACAUUAAAAAAUAAUGUUGACAUUACCCGUUCUUGGCAUAAGAUAGCCUUCAAAGAGCUAAAAGAAAAAGCACCAUUUGACGUCAGGGACCAAGUAAGAAUAUCGGAGCAAUUCUAUUAUUCAAUGGAAGUUGGCCAAGCAUAAAAAAUGGAAGUUCCAGUCACCUGCUUUCUAUCCAAUAAUUGCCUUCUAAAGUUUGGAAGCCACCUCAAUAAAAUGGGUAUUUCACGCCUCAUGUACCGUGAUAUCUUUCUUGUCAGAGAUAACAUAAACAUGAGUGAAUUUUUGUUUUAGAAUACUAUUAUUAGAGGUCCAAUUCUUAAACCAUUAUCACAUUAGUUGAUCUAUACUUACUAAGAUAUCAUUAUGUGGGUGCAGUUGUUGAUUCUUUUUUUUCUUCUUGAUCUAGUUCGAGAGAUUAAUAAAUGCACCAAGUCAGGUUAACUAGAGUUUGACACAACCUUACUUCCCUCAUUAUAUCUCGAAACUAAUAGGGAUACAUUACUGUUCAAUCAAAACUAAAAAUUGUUUAUUUUAUUUUAGCGGUCAAUCAGACACCCGUAAAAAUGGUUGAUGAUGACAUCUAUUGAUUUUAAUUUAAAAUUAAAGAUGUGUUGGUCACUCUAUAUUGUCUCAGGCACGAGACAAUAUACUUCAUCUAUAUAUAUCUAUAUAUAUAUAUACUUACAUCUAAUUUAAAAUUGAAUUCUUAUAAAAGUCGUGCUAUUAAAUAUUAACAACUUUUAAUUUACUUCACACUACACCACUAUUAACAUUUAAGUUUUCAAUUCACUCGCGAAAUUUCAGAUAUCCCAACGCUGCUUUAACCCGUAUGGAGAAAAGGUGUUAAGAAAUAGGGUAUCUACAAACACCUAACAUAAUGUGUCAGCAUGAAGAGAGGCAAACUUCCGAUGCAGUAGCAAAGACGUCGGGAAAGCAUGGGCUACAUCCGAUGUCAUGCAUGCAUGAAUUGACAGAAAAUAAUCAUUUAAAUAAUGAUUGUGUUUAUCCCGACUCUAUGCAUGUAUGCAUUGGGAUUUGUAGGGCUACUCCUGACGUCGUACAUGCAUCCGUUGGCAGAAAAAAAAAUCAUUUUAAUAAUGAGUAUUAUGUUUAUCCUAACACCACGCAUAUGUGCGUUAGGAUUUGGAUGGGACCCUCCUGACGAAUGCUUUGGGAGUAGUUGGGAACUCCCAACGCGUAUCGUGGUGUGUCAGAAGUUUUCUCUUUAAAAACUCUCUUCCAGAUCUAGAAGAGAAAAGGAGAAGAUCAGAGAAGAACGAGAAAGUGCGCGAGAAUAGAAACGACCACCACCCGCCGCCCUAUGCCAUUGUUGUUCGUUGUGCCUCGGUCGUCGCCUUCUUCUUCAAUAACUAUAGAUUUUUGUUUUGUUUUUUUCCUCUUUAUUAUUUUUGAUUAACUUAAUAAAAUAAAAUUAGAUUUGCUUCUUGUAAUCAUCUGGUUGAUGAUAUUUGUGUUUGAUGCUUGACAAAUUUAGGUAGAUUUUUAAUUUUGCCCUAAAAUAACUUUGAAGGUUAAAAUCUCCCAAAAAUCACAUUGUUUUGUCGUGGAAUGUUGCAACUACACUUGAAAACUACAAUGUGCUUCAAAUUUUAGCAUGUUUGAAGAUCCUCGAAAUGAAUUUGGAAGCCACAAUGUGUAUUUGUUGCAAAACUAUAUUGCAAAAUAUGUCAAAUAAUGGUAUUUGUUCCAUGUUAUUAAUUUCAACAAUUUUGCUUAGAAUCUUGGUCUAUAUUGCAAAAUAGAGUACAUGAUAAUAUUUGUUCCAUGUUAUUAAUUUCAACAAUUUUACUCUACUAUUGGGCGUUGAGAAGUUUCAUAGUUUAAUUAAUUCCAUUGAUUUUAUUUCUUAAGAUAGUUGAAUCAAUUGACUUUCAUGUUUAAUUCCAAGUUACUAAGUGUAUUUUAAGAGUGACUCUAGAGUUGUAUCACUCUUACAGAGAUGGAGUGUCCCUAUUUAAUUUUAAGAUCCUAUGAGUGUUUGGAUUGAUUUUUGAAGUGUUUAAUUUUUAAAAUAAUUUAUUUUAAGGUAAAUUGUGGUGUUUGACACGGGUUUAAAAUAAUUUUUAGAAAAAUGAGAUUAUGAAAUAAAUCAUUCUAUAGAAAAUUACACAUGCAACCAAAUUUUAGAAUAAAUGUUUGUUUGGUGUUUGACGAUGAAUCUUUCCCAAAUAUCUAUUUUUCUUCAUCUAUUUUUUCUAUUCCUUUUUACUAUCUAUUUUUCAUUCUGUCGUCUUUUUUUAAUUUUUUAAAAAUAUUUUAAAUAUUUUUUCAACGUGUGUUCAUAUACAUUUAAAUAUAUAUAGGGAUUUACAAAUGUUUCGCCUUAACAUCUGUAAAAGAAAUCAUGAGAACGUCAAUGAAGAACAUGAUCGUUCGGUUCGUAAAAUGAAGAUGAAUGAAGAACGUGAUCGAAUUGAAUAUUUUUUUGUCUAGUUGAUAUUAUAUUGUCUUGAAAAAAUUAUUUAUCUUAUCUAUAUUCUGUUGAUGGAAAUCAAUUGUUUUUUUUUUUAUGGUUAUCUAUUUACAUUUGAUAUUUGUGCUUCUAAAAUUGAAUUGUCCAAAAAACAUUAAUACAAAAAAAAAUGAAAUUAACGUUUAGUUUCAAGUAACACUAAACAAUUAAUAAUUACAUGAUAACGUGUGAUUAGUUUUAAAAUAUAUUUAUAAAAAAAGAUUCAAAAUGUAUGUAUUAUGAAAUUAGUUCAUAAUGUUUAAUAGUCUUUUAUGUAAUUUAACUAAAUAUAAACAUGGUUAGUAUAGGAGAAACCAAACACAAUUUGCAUAUAAACAUUUAUAAAAAGGUCGAACCAAAUAUGUAAGUGUUUAGAUUUUAAACUCAUACAAAAAGGAUUUUUAAAAAAAUGUAUUCUUAAAAAAAUAUUUUAUUUUAUACACAAUCCAAACGGACGCUAAGUCUUUUUCCAUAAACUAUUUUUCUCUCUAUUUAGAUUAUUGAAUGAUCAAAUCUAUUAAAUCUUUUAGGUCUUUAACGAUGAACAAGAAUUAGAUCCAACUUAAAAAUAAAUUGCAUUAUAUAAAGACAUUGGCGUUGAGGUUGUUCUUACUCUCAACGCCAUAAUAAUCGCGUCAGGAGUUCCCUACUCCUUACACCCAUUCAUAACAGCGUUGGAAAAUCGUCUUCCAACAAUUCUAUAUGUAUUGGAAGAUCCUUUUUCAACACAUUUUAAUAUAUAUGUUGAGGAUGUUAUAUGUGAAGAGAGCUAUUAUUUCUUGUUCCAUUAGCAAUAUUAUUUUGUGAAGUCUCUUUGGAAUUUGUGGAAGUAUAUAAUACUCUCGUAUGUGUACACCACUCCCACUAACAUGCAAUAAUUAUAAACAUAAAUUAAUACUUUGUCACCCUAGCUUUGAAAUUGAAAUCAAGAUUCCUGUGAAUAUAAAUGAAAUUUAAAAGAUAAUAAGUAAUAUAAUGUAAUAUCAUAAUAAUGAUAUAAUGUACUAUGAUCCCAUAAAUAAGAGAAAUGUUAACAUGUCCUAGGAAACUUGACGACCACAUUUUACAUAUAAUUGUCACUAAUUGCUUAUAAUUAUUUAAUGUUUACAAUUAUUUUAUUGUCACUAAAAGUCUUAUUAUGACAUUUUUUUUAAAUAGUCCAUGAUUCUAUCAUAUCUUGAUAUGAUAGGGGUAGUUUUUAAAUAUCAUAAUAUAUGUUAAAAUUUAUCAUUGAUAAAUUAGAAGUAGAUUGAUGAUAUAUAAAAGUUUAUUAUUGAUUAUAGACUUUGUUAUAUAUUUACAAUUAAUUUUGUUAAAAUAUUGUUAUACAUUUAAUUAUUAUUCUUAAAAUUUUUACACAUACAAUUACCUAAUAAAUAAGAUGAUGUUUUAUCUCAAAAUUAGUUGAAUUUAAAAUGAAAUCUCAUGUUAAUAUAUUUUUAGUUGUUGGGACUUGUAUGUAUGUUUCACAUGUCUUAUAAAAAAUAUGUGUGAACUUUAUUACAAUAUUAUACUCUUUUGGUUUUGUAUAAUAAUACUCCAUAUUUACACCACUUCCACUAACAUUCAAAAUUUUCAAUAAGAAACAACAUAUAUAUAUAUAUAUAUAGAUUAAUAAUUUCCACCAACCAUUCAAAUUGAGUUUAAAAUUUUAAAUAAAUAGAAUAAAACGACAAAAUAUUUACACCGUAUUAGAACAAUUUCAAAAAUAGAAAAAAGUCUCAAUUAAUUGGCAUCCAACGCGUAAUAUAUUUGAAAAACCGUCAUCUAGUAUUUGCAAAACGAUCAUUUAGAUUUGAUUAUUCUUUUCUAGACAAUCGUUUAGAUUUGAUUGUUUAAAUUUGAGUUACCAAAUCUGAAUGAGUUUUUUUAAAGAUUCGUUAAGAUUGUUUGGUACCCUUAAAUUUGGCUAUACACGAUCAUUUAGAUUUGGCUAUCCAAUAUUCUAACGAUUGUUUGUACUUGCUUUGGGCUUGUCUCUAGCCCUUUGGCUUUGUUUGGGUUGUUCUCUUUGCUUCUCGUGUACUUGAUUUUCUAUAUUAAUGAAGCGGAGAUGAUGAGGGUACUAAGGGGAUGUCCACCUAGUGGAGAUGUCCGGGUGCAUCUACUGACCCAUCAUAUCGUAUCCUUCAUCAAAAAAAGAUAUUCCAACAAUUUUUUUCAUGAUCUAAACAACCAAAUAACAUUUUUUUAAAAAAAAAUCUUAUAUAUUAAUACAUGAUUUUGAACCAAAUAACGGUUUGAAAAAAAUAGAAAAUAAAAAAAUUGGAGAAAAAGAAAAAAAAAAUUGAAGGGAAAAAGAAAGACGAUGAUAGAAAAAAAGAAUAAUAUUACAGAUUAUAAAGAAGAGAGAAUAAAGAAUGAUGCAGAUAAAAAAUAUAUAAAACUAGACAUAAAUAAAUGGAAAUGAAGAUGAAAAAAUGGGGAAUAAGAGAAAGAAUCGAAAUUAAAAGAUCUUUAUAAACUAGUAAAGACAAAUAACCUUGACGAGCUUUUGUUGAAUGGUUGUAAUUGCCCUAAAUAUUUUUCUAUUUUAUUAUAUUUAUGAAAUUUCCCAAAUAAUUAUGUGGCAAUAUUUAUUGUAAGUACUUUAUUAUUUUGUACAGCUCUCCAUAUAUCAUUACACCACUCCCACUUAUAUGAAAGUUUACACAAUGAGAAGAAUAAAUUAAUAUUUUGUUCAAAUUCAAUUUAAGAUUCCCAAUUAUGAGAUUAUAUAUAUAAAAAAAAUAUUUAGUCCAAGAUUCUCAUAUAUAUAUAUAUAUAUAUAUAUAUAUAUAAUUAUGAAAAUAAUAACAAUGUAAAAUAAUAACUGCAAUGAGAUUGUAUAUUGGUAAAAAAAAGACGGUGCCUUAAAAAUGCAAGUUCUUCGUUUGGACAGUCAUCCAUGAAAAAAUCAACACAAUGGAUGUUAUCUAAAAGAAAAUAAAAAACUUCUGCCUGCUAAACCCAAACCGUUGUGUGCAUUACAAAUCCAACAGUAAAGACAUAUACCACUUAUUCAUUGACUGCCAAGUUUCAAAGGCCCUUUAGGAUAAACUACUAUCCCACAUUGGAUUAAACUUUGAUAGAGAGAGCACCAAAUCUUUUCUCUUUAUUCAUAUGCAAACUCAAGCAAACAGACAGAAAAAACACUAUCAGAUUCAAUGCCGGAGCGGCCCUUCUAUGUACGAUCUGGGUGGAAAGAAACAAUCAAAUCUUUAGAGAAAUCAAAAGAAGCACUGUGAACAUAUGGAAAGACGUUGGCCAAUCUGAUCGGUCUAUGGUUCAACAGGCAUAAAUCUUGUAGAACACUAUGACCCUUGCAGUAUUUCACUAAAUUAUAGAGCUUUAUUAAACUAAAAUAGGAUGUAUAGCCUUAGCUCUGGCCUUCCUUUCAUGUAACUCUGCUCUAUGUAAUUAUAUUUUGUGCUCAGUAUUAUAGGAUAUGCACUUUCUAUAUACACCUAGACUUACGGAAACACAUUGUUGCCAACUUUUGUAACGCAAAUAUAAAGUAGCGGAAACAACUUAUUAGAAACAAAAUCUAACCCAAUCUAUCAAAUCCUAGGAAAGACAUCUUUUGAUCUACUCCUAUGCUAAAAACGUUAAACUUCAUUGCCUUAGAGCCAUCCAUGAUCUUUUUAUUUGAAACUGACUGCAUUUUAGAAAGAUUUCCAAAAGAUGAGUACAAGUACUCCAUAAGCAAUUUCCACAUCAAGAUUUGAAAUUCAUUGUCUCAAAAGUUUUGUAAAUCAUAAAAUAAAUCAUUCUAGAACUUUUAGUCAAACUUUACUAAAAAAACCAUAUUUUCAAAACCAAAACUUUCGAGCAAAAACUUUUUUUUGAGACUAUUUCAAGAAAAAACUCUAAGGAUAGUAAUCUAUAGGUAGAUUUCCACCUGGGAAUCUUAAAUUGAAUUUGAAAGCUAGUGGCAAAAUAAUAGUUUAUUUUUCUCAUUUGAAAACUUUCAUAUUAAUGGGAGUGGUGUAUUCGUGGAGAAUUGUUCAAAAUAGAAAAGAACAUGGCCAUAUUGCAAACAUAAUAUAUAUAAUUUGGAAUCCUGAACUCUCAAUUUCGACGCUUGAUGGAAAUUAUUAACAUAUGUUGUUUCUAAUUGAAAACUUUCAAUGUUAGUGGAAAUGGUGUACAUAUGGGCUAUUAUAUAAAACCAAAAGAGUAUAAUAUUUGCUCAUAGAGUUUAAACACACAAAUUUUUAAUUAGACAUGCGAAACAUAUGUAUUUUCUUUAAGCACUAAUAAAAUUUAAUUUAGAGAUUUUCUCUUUUAAUGUAUAUGUUUAGUUCUCCAUUCAUCUAUACUACUUAUAUUUGCCAUAUAUCAUGCCAGAUUAUUGGAUAAAUGUCACAUUACCACUAAACGUAUUUUAAUUUCAAAUAUUACAAUGUAAUUAAACUAUUGAAUAGAAGAAAAUAAAUAAUAACAACAACAAUAAUAAUGUAGUAGAAAGUACUUUUUGAACUAGAGAUUCCAUUUAUGCUAAUACUAUAUAACAUAGUAAAUUGUGUUACCAUAUAUUGAAGAAUCUAAUUUUUUUAUUAAAAAAAACAUGCAUUUUCUUGUUAUUUCCAUAAAAAAAAAAUCAAGUCGCACCCGAAGAUUGAGGAAUGGAAACAUGCUAAAUAAUUAUGCGAGUCCCCAUCUUACGAAUGUUCAAAACUAAUUAAGCUGGGCAUAAAUUUGUGAUUAGGUUUUUAAAUAUGUGCCAGCUAAAGUCAUCACACAAUAUGGAAGAUGGAGUUGUCAUUAUUAAUGUUUCUUAUGAAUAUUUAAUUUUACUAUCAGUUUCGUUAUCGUUUUAGGCCACAUUCAUCUUCAAAAACUAAACCCUAUAAAAACCCUAGCACCCCUAUCUCCAAUUCUCACACACCCAAGCUAGCCCUCACUUAAUACUAAUUUAGCUUUUGGUUUCCAUUGAGCUUCAAAGACAUCAAACUAUAAUGGCUUCCAAAGCUACCGUCUCUCUUGCAUUUCUCCUUGCUCUCAAUCUUGUUUUCUCCUCCUUCGUUUACGCUGAGGCUGACAAGAAGUGCCCAAUAAACGCUCUUCAGCUCGGUGUUUGUGCAAAAUUGCUCGGGGGUGUUGUCGAUGUCGAGAUCGGCAAGACUUCUUGCUGCCCUUUGAUCGAGGGCCUAGUUGAUCUUGAUGCUGCUGUGUGCCUUUGCACUGCUGUUAAAGCCAAAGUGUUGGGACUGAAUCUCAACAUUCCCGUCGACCUCUCCUUGAUUCUCAAUGGCUGCAAUAAGAAACUUGUUGAGGGCUUCACAUGCUAAAUUAAUUUAUGACCAUCAUUUACUUUCGUUGCUAUUUCAUUGUCUAAUUUGUUUUCAAUUGUUCCAAUUUUAUAUUUCUUGCAGUCGUUUCCUUAAUAAGUUCUCACCUAUUGAUGAUUGUAUCAAUGAGUGACACUAUGUUAUAAAAUCAAGAAUUUAAUAUAUCAAUUCUAUGUUAUUAUUUUCAUAAUUCUUCCUCAGUAUUUAUUAAAAUGUUCUUUGUCAUCCAGUAAUAGGCGAUAAAUCGACAUUUAUGACUUUUCAUUAUUUCUCAAAUGAUAUUGUUUACUUUAACCAUAAUGAAAACAGAAAACAGAAAAGGAACGGUUUCUUUUCUUUGACAGUAUGUGAUAAGAAUAAUAUAUCAAAUAUUUUAUUUGAAAGUAAUAGCAUUGAUCGUCCAAGUUCAGCCAUUUUUCUAACCUUGACUAAUUAAAAAGUAAAGUUUUUUUUUAAAAUACAAAUGAAAUAUAUAUGACAUAAUAUCCUUUUAAAUAUGUAAAGAUCAUGCCUAAAAAACUUUUGAAGUCAAUACUUUUAUCCUCUUUUUUUUUUUAUAUAGUUUUUUUUUAACAGAUUAGACUAUUUCUCCAAAUUAUCAACUGCAAAAUUAGACAUGCAAUGAAUCAUAUACAAUUGGUGUAACACCUGCGCCUAUCCUCUCCAAUCCAUCCCGUUGCCUUCCACUGAUCGAAUCCCCAAUCAAUAAUCCUCCGUCAAAGUCUCGUCUUCGCAAACAUUGAGUUCAUUAGAUUCUGCAACUAUCUUCUAGCUUCUAUUUUAUCAAGAUCAUCAAGCUCCUUAAUCCAGGCUUUUUUAUUCUCCUCAUUCAAACCAUUUUUUCUUUUGCACCAAUCUCUGAUGGAUGAAGAUUAUACUUGUUUGAGCCUUUUCAUACAGGAGUAUCCAGAAUGACAAGGUCGGUAGGUAUUUUUCCACCAAAGCUCAAUGUUUUGCUUGAAUUCAACAUCUUGUAGAAAGACAUUAGUGAAUCUGAAUGAUGUGGGCCCAUCUCAAAAUUUGCUGUUUCAAGAACAAGGGGAAGUGAUAGAAAUAAUACUUUAUGCAUGCACUAUAUAUUUAUCUUUGUGGUAUACUGCUUUAUGUUUGUGGUAUGUGUAUGCAUGAUUUAAAAUGAAUUAAUUUUAAAUUUCAAUUUACUAAUUCCUAGUUAAUGGAAAAAAAAAAACAAAAAAACAAUGAGGGCUCCAUAAAAGUAGAAAAAGAAUGACAUAAUAUGAGCAAAAGAAAACGUGAAAUGAAGUAGAGAGAGAGAGAAAAAAAAAGGAAUGAAAGACAAGGACACACCAUGAAGAGAUAAAAAAUAAAAAAUAAAAUAAAACAAUAACAUAACUUGAAAGCGCAAGAAUGUAAUAUAAGUUCUCAUAAUUGACAAGGUAUUUUUAACAGGUUCAAUCUCAACUAUAUUGCAUUCUCUGUUUAAUGAUUUUACAUCUACCUUAUUUUGUUUUUCUUUUUAUAUUCAUAUGUGUUACGAUUAAUUUAUAUAUACUUCGAUUAAUCUUACAGAAGAAUUCGUUGAUCCUUACAACAAUUGUAACAUGUAUAUUUUUCAAUAAAGAUAUUAUAACAAAAAUGUUCAAACGUGAACAUUGUAAGCUUUUGCAACAUAUAUAAAAUAGUGGAAGCAACUUAUUACAAACAAAAUAUAAUUCAAUCUAUCAAAUCCUAGGAAAGACAUCUUUUGAUGUCCUACCCUAUUGCUAAAAACGUAAAACUUCAUUGCCUUGGAGUCAUCCAUGAUCAUUUAUUUGAAAUUGAAUUCAUUUUAGAAAGAAAUUUUCCAAGAGAUGAGUACAAAUAGUCCAUAAACAAUUUUUACGUCGAGAUUUGAAAUUCAUUCUCAUUCUGUAAAUCAUAAAACAAAUCAUUUUAGAACUUUCAGUCAAACUUUGCUGCAAAAGUAUAUUUUCAAAACUAAAACUUUCAAACAAAACUUUUUUGAGACUAUUUCAAGGAAAAACUCUAGGGUAUUAAUUGAUAGGUAGAUUUUCACUGUAGAUUAAACCUAUUUACCUUUUAACUAUUUUUUGAAAUUAUUUCUUUGUUUAGCAUUAGAUCAAUUCAUGGAAAUCAUUAAUUUAUAUUGUUAUUAUUUUUAUAAUUUCAUAUAUAUGAGAAUUUUGAACUAAUAAUUUUUUUUUAAAGUAAAAACUAGAGGUGAGAGAUUUUAACGCGACUAAUUAUUAUUGACCCCUACGCCAUAUAUAUAAUCUCUAUCAUAAUUGGGAAUCUUAAAUUGAAUUUGGAAGCUAGGUGGCAAAAUAUUAAUUUAUUAUUCUCAUUGGAAAACUUUCAUAUUAGUGGGAGUGGUGUGUGAUGAUGGAGAAUUGUUCAAAAUAGAAAAGAGCAUGGCAAUAUUGCAAACAUAUAUAAUAUAUAAUUUAGAAUUCUGAACUCUCAAUUUCAACGCUUGAUGGAAAUUAUUAACAUAUGUUGUUUCUAAUUCAAAACUUACAAUGUUAGUGGAAAUGGUGUACAUAUGGGCUAUUAUAUAAAACCAAAAGAGUAUAAUAUUGCUCAUAGAGUUUAAACACACAAAUUUUUAAUUAGACAUGCGAAACAUAUAUAUUUUCUUUAAGAACUUAUAAAAUUUAUUUUAGAGAUUUUCUCUUUUAUUGCAUAUGUUUAGUUCUCCAUUCAUCUAUACUGCUUAUAUUUGCCAUAUAUCAUGCCAGAUUAUUGGAUAACAUUAGUCUAAAAAAACAAUACAUGUCACAUUACCACUAAACGUAUUUUAAUUUCAAAUAUUACAAUGUAAUUAAACUAUUGAAUAGAAGAAAAUAAAUAAUAACAACAACAAUAAUAAUGUAGUAGAAAGUACUUUUUGAACUAGAGAUUCCAUUUAUGCUAAUACUAUAUAACAUAGUAAAUUCUUGUGUUACCAUAUAUUGAAGAAUCUAAUUUAAAAAAACAAAAAAACGCAUGCAUUAACCUUAAAUUUCAAGUAAUUGCUGCACCCAAAGAUUGAGGAAUGGAAACAUGCUAAAUAAUUGUGUGAGUCCCCAUCUUACAAAUGAUCAAAAUUAAUUAAGUUGACAUAAACAUGUGAUUAGGUUUUUAAGUAUGUGCCAGCUAAAGUCAUCACGCAAUAAUAUGAAGAUGGAGUUGUCAUUAUUACUGUUUCUUAAGAAUAUUUAAUUUUAUUAUCAGUUUCGUAAUCCUCUUAGGCCACAUUCAUCUUCAAAAAUUAAACCCUAUAAAAACCCUGAAACCCCUAUCUCCAAUUCUCACACACCCAAGCUAACCCUUACUCAAUACUAAUUUAGCUUUUGGUUUCCAUUGAGCUUCAAAGACAUCAAACUAUAUGGCUUCCAAAGCUACCGUCUCUCUAGCAUUUCUCCUUGCUCUCAAUCUUGUUUUCUCCUCCUUCGUUUACGCUGAGGCUGACAAGAAGUGCCCAAUAAACGCUCUUCAGCUCGGUGUUUGUGCAAAAUUGCUCGGGGGUGUUGUCGAUGUCGAGAUCGGCAAGACUUCUUGCUGCCCUUUGAUCAGUGGCCUAGUUGAUCUUGAUGCUGCUGUGUGCCUUUGCACUGCUGUUAAAGCCAAAGUGUUGGGACUGAAUCUCAACAUUCCCGUCGACCUCUCCUUGAUUCUCAAUGGCUGCAAUAAGAAACUUGUUGAGGGCUUCACAUGCUAAAUUAGUUUAUGACCAUCAUUUACUUUCGUUAUUAUUUCAUUGUCUAAUUUGUUUUCAAUUGUUCCAAUUUAAUAUUUCGUGCCGUCGUUUCCUUAAUAAGUUCUCACCUAUUGAUGAUUGUAUCAAUGAGUGACAUUAUGUUAUAAAAUCAAGAAUUUAAUAUAUCAAUUCCAUAUUGUUAUUUUCACAAGUCUUUCUCAAUAUUUAUCAAAAUGUUCUUUCUCAUCGAGUAAUGGGGGAUAAAUCGACAUUUAUGAUUUUUCAUUAUUUCUCAAUUGAUAUUGUUUACUUUCACCAUAAUAGAAAUGGAAAAGGAAUGGUUUCUUUUCUUUGACGGCAUGUGAUAGGAAUGGAUAUAUCAAACAUUUUAUUUGGAAGUAAUAGCAUUGAUUGUGCAAGUUUAGCAAUUUUCUAACCUUGACUAAUUAAAAAGUAAUAUAUUUUUUUUAAAAUACCAAUGAAAUAUAUAUGACUAUCAUAAUAUCCUUUUAAAUAUGUAAAGAUCCUGCCUAAAAAACUUUUAGUAAAUUGGUAUAAUACCUGCGCCUAACCUCUCCACUCCAUCUCGUUGCCUUCCGCUGAACGAAUCCCCAACCAGAAAUCCUCCAUCAAAGUCUCUUCAUCGCACACAUUUGUUUCCUCUGAGUUCAUUACAUUCGGCAACUAUCUUCUAGCUUUCUGCGGAAUCGACAACCCCACCCGUUUCUCUACCGUCGUCGCCACCUCCUAUACCGUCUGAUUUCACAAUUUCGAUUUCAUCUUCUCUUCCUUCAUCGCCUUCUUAUCCAUCUCUACCCUGCUACCGGUACUCCACCGGCCAUCAACUCCCGCACUGUUUUGCCGCCACCUCGGACAGUAUCCUACCGACAACCUACAGAUUACACCAACUUUCCCCAUUCAAUAUCGAACCGCCUACCUGUUAUCCAACUUUUUACAUUAGAAAGAAUUUUCCUAUCUAAACUACCUAGAAUGUUUAAAAUCAAAUAGUAGUUGGCAGUAGAUUUCUUUCUUUAUUUUUUUUUUUUUUUGGGUGGGGGGUUUGAGAUUAUUAUGUUUUGUUUUGUAAAAGAAAAUUGAUUGAAUAAGAUAAAAGUUAGAAACGAGAAAGAACGAUAAAAAGAAAAAAUAUCAUUAACUAAAAUUAAAUUUGGCGAUAAUGCUGAUUUCAAACUUGUUUCUCUUACUGUUAUUCAUCUUGCUCGUGUUGGUGUGGAUUAAAAAAAUAUUCACACAUUCGCUCAAAGCUAGAGUGAGAAUUUUUAUUAUUAGACAUUUUUUCUUACGAAAAAAUAAUGGAGGGGAAAUAAUGAGAGUAGAGUUGAAAUUAAAAUUAAAUUAAAUGGUUCUUGCAAAUCUUUUAAAGACAAUAAAUAAUUAAUGAACAAUAAAUGGCAAUCAUAAAAUAUCAUUGUCAUAAACUACUGUUUUCGUGGAGUUUACUAUGACAGAUUAUUAUGUCACUAAUUAACUCGUAGUACGUUAUAUUAUAUUAUUAAUGUACAUUAUUUUACUUUUUUUAAAAUAAAUUUUGAGCCUAACAUCAUAUCAAUAACAUGUAUUCCAUCUCAAAAUUACCAAUACUAUCAAUAUAAUAGGCAUGAAUUCUACUCUUCAAUUUUUGUUAAUGUGAGAUUCAUAAAAGACACAAUUAUUUACUACUGUACACUCAUAAAAUAUUAGAAACAAAUAAUAAAAGUAAAUAAAUGUGUAUUAUUUGCAGUACUUCGAUUCACUAAUAUCCUAGCGAUUUGCAUAUAAACUAAUUUAGAGCUUUCAUCUUCAAACUUGCCAGCUAAAAUCUCAAGAGACCACACAUGGAUCACCCAAAUAAUCAUAAUAAUAGAAUAUAAUUAUUGAUACCAUAUUAUUUAAUUCAAUUUCCACAAAUGAUAUCAUCUCUUCCAUCCUCACCCUCUCCCUCCCCUUCCCUAAACCCUAUAAAACCCCACCCAAUCUCCCCUUUUCUCCCACCACCAAUCGCUCCAAAUCCUUUCAACUUUCAAGAGAGAUCCAUCUUGGAAAAAGAAAAAAACCAAAACCCUAAUGGCUUCCAAAGCUACAGCCUCACUUGCUUUCCUCCUCUCUCUCAAUCUCCUAUUCUUCACCUUUGUCUCAGCAUGUGACAAUUGCUAUGUCCCUGCCCCACCCAAGCCCAAGCCAUGCCCUCCUACUAAACCAAACCCUCCAUCUAACUAUGGAAAGUGUCCUAAGGAUGCCCUUAAAAUCGGCGUCUGCGCCAAGCUUCUCGGCGGCCUUGUUGACCUCACCAUCGGCAAGCCCCCAGUGACCCCAUGCUGCACCUUGGUUCAAGGUCUUGCUGAUCUUGAAGCUGCUGUCUGCCUUUGCACUGCCAUUAAGGCCAGCGUUUUGGGGAAAACGAUUAAAAUCCCACUCCACCUCAGCUUGCUCCUUAAUGUCUGCAACAAGAAUCUUCCCAAUGGAUUCCAAUGCUGAUAUUAUAUAAUUAGCUUUUUCCUAAUCUUUAAUUCUCGAAUGUUUUGAUGUUGUACGGUUGUAUGGUUUUUUUUUCUUUAAAAAAAAAACUACUACAAACAAAUUAUUCUUGGUUGUGUUCAAACGUUCAAUAAAAGUUUUUCCUAUUGCUGAAUUCUGUUAGUGAUUCUUAUUUCAGCUUUGGCACACGCAAUCCUAAACCCUAAAAGUUUGAACUUCUAAUUUAGUUUCGUUUAAUGAUGCUAAGCACACAAAAAACUUGAAAGAAAAAAAAAAAGAACCAAAGUGUUUAUACAUUUUAUCCCACCAUGUGAUCUUAGAAAUAACAAAAGUAAACCAAAAUAUUUAUAAGAUAUAAUAAAAAUAUGUAAUCUCUAACAACCAUAAAUAUUGAUAGAAAUUUAUGGACAGACUAAUUUUACUAUAUUCUCUAUUAAAAACCUUUCCUAUGAUCUCUUCCUGUUGCCUUUGGUUUAUAUGACUAUAAAAACUCCCUGGUAUUAUGUAAAAUUCCUUUUAUCGAAUGAAUCAUUUUCUUUUGGAUAUGCAAUAGAUAUGAAUGUUAAGAUAGGUCAAUGUAGUUUAAAUAUUCCAAUGCAUUACUUACCCUUCUAUUCUCGUAGUAUUUUCUUUAACAAAAAUUACUCUUUUCUUACAUAGAACUGGAAUAACAUUUGUUUGUUUCAAUAAUACAAUAAUUAUCAUAAAUAAUCACUAAAUAGAUGUCAUUUAUAUUUAGUACAUGUGCCACUUUUUCUACCUCUCAUCUACAUUCUCGUGUAUUUUGAAAUACUAAAUCUAUAUAGUAUCUAUAUAAUUCACCUUAUGUUUACUAAAUUGCCAAUAAAUUGUGGCAUUUGAUAGGUUUUGUUAAUUCGUAAUUUACACGUGUUGUACAUCUUUUUCUUCUUCUUUUUUUCUUUUCAGUAAAUUGUGCACUUUUUUUAUGGAACUUUUCCUUAGCUCUCCUUUGGUUUUGGAAGGGAGCAAUGAAAAAUGUUAUGCUUGUGUUAACCUACUUUUUAGAUAUAUGGAUGUAGAUCUCUUCAUCCCUCCCCCUCUAGUAUUUUGUCAAGAAAACAAUUAACUUUUAAAAAUUUAAACAUUACACAAAUGUAGCAUUUAUAAAGAUGGAAAAAAAUGAACCAAAAUUCAUAUAUAUUACUGAGAGACAUGCAUAUCAAGUAUUUAUCCGUGUCUACUAUUGAUAGAAUGUAAAAUUUUGUUAAAUUUUGUCAACCGUGUCAUUUACAAUAAUUUUUCUACCAAAGAAUAAUUUUUCUAAUUUUGUCCUCAAGCUCUAGUAUGAGCUUACCAAACAUUGUUAGUUGUUUUUUAGGUUUAAAAUUAAAAUUUUACUUCACACGAUCUUUAUUAUUUUUUUGAAAAUAUAAAUUUUAACGAUAAUUCACUACAACCAAUUUUGGCUCUUUUGAGGCCGCAUGUUGUACGUGGAAGGUCCUCUUUCAAUGCAUUUCACCCAACUUCGACUGGAUUUUAUGUGGCGAAAGAUUCUUUUACGAUGUUGUUUCAUACAUCUUCUGACGUUUGUAUGCAUUAGAAGAACUCUCUUUUCUUGUAGCGAUUAUUUUUAAAAGCUACACAAAAAAAAACCAUUCAGCCAUUAAUUAAUUAAGGAAUUUGGAAUUUUACACAUUUCUCUUAGCUUUGUAUUUGUGUGUUUAAAAGAAAUACAGAUAAUGCAGUUGGAUUCAGUCUCUUUUGUUAGCUUUACUUGUUACAUUAUUUUACUUCUUAUUAAUUUUCAAAUUUCAUAUUUUAAAAAUGGCUACGCCACGUAAACUUUUCAAGUGAUGGAAUCCCCGAUAUGAUUACAUUCAUUUUUCAAAUUUCAUUAAAUCUCAUAAUUAAUUGGGGAAUCUUGAAUUCAAUUUCAAAUCUAGAGGGCGAAUAUUAAUUUACUCUUGUCAUUGUAAACUUACGUGUUAGUGGGAGUGUUGUACAUAUAGAUAGUAUUAUACAAAACUAAACCAAACCAAAAGAGUAAUCAAAAUAUUGCAAUUACAUAAUCUGGAAUAAUCUUGAAUUCAAUUUCAAUGCUUAGUGGAAAUUAAUUAAUUUAUCAUGUUUCUUAUUGAAAAACUUACAUGUUAGUGGGAGUGGUGUAGUCUACAUAUGGAAUAUUAUAUAAAACCAUAAGGGUAUAAUAUUGCUAUAGAGCUUAAUUAAAGACACACACAUAUAUUCUUUAUAUAAGAUAUGUGAAACAUAUCUCUUUUUCUUUAAGGAACUUUUUAUUAAAAUUAAUUUUAUCGAUUUGAUUCUAUUAUACACAUUUAAUUGGCCAUUCAUCCCACUACUUAUUUAUUUACCUUGUCUAUAUUCCAAAAUUAUUGAAUGAACCAUUUUUCUUUUUAUUCCAUAUCCCAAAAAAUCUGGAUCAAGUCAACAUUUUAAUUUCAAAGUAACUAUAUACACCCAAAGAUUGAGGGAAGAAAAAAUAGGAAACUAUAUUCCCCAUCUCAGAAACGUCCAAAAUUAAGUUGGCAUACAUUUCUGAGGUUUUUUUAGAAUGAAAAUACUUUAUAAAGCCAAAUUCUUUUUUGGCAUAAAAUACUUUAUAUGUUGGCAUGAACUUCUGAGCUUUUUAAAUAUAUGCCAGCUAGCUAAAACCAUCAUACACAUUGAGUAGAUCAUCGAUGAUGGAGUUAUCAUUAUCUUUGCAAAAUACAAUUUUGAGUUUUAAGGUUUUUUCUUUCCUUUAAUACGUUGAAUUUGUUCUUAGGGUAACACUCUUGAAAAUUAAGUUAUUUACGUCUUUUUCAUAUUCAUGUUAACGUUCAUGACCCUAGGAAUUUAGAAAGCAACUCUCAAAAUCCUAGAGGUGUCUCUGAUUAUGCAAUUUUUGUGUAUUAUAAUUUUCUAUACUAAAUUAUUUUGUUCUUUUCUUUACCCAAGAUCGUACUUAAUAUACUAUAAUUACUUAAUAUACUAUAAUUGAACCACAUAAAUUUAUUUGUUCAUUUUCUAUUUUAUUAUUUAUUAUUUGUUAAUUUCAUAACAUCGAUUUUUAUAGAUCACAUCCCUUGAUUUUCAUAAACUAAACACUACAAAACUAUAUGGUGAUGAUUGAAAAUAACGUAAAUAACAUAACUACGAAUAGAUAUAAUUUAUUUUUUAAGUCGUUCGAAGCAUAAUUAGAGAACAUAUUCAAGGUAUUUUAACAAGUUCAGAAAGACAUUUUAACAAGUUUGGAGAGAAAGAAAAAACAGCACAGUGACAUGAAUCUUGUCCAAAUUUACUAUAUUGAUUAAAUGCUCCUUGCCUUUCCUUACAUUACCAAAUUAAAUUAUCCAUGGAGCAGGAAUAUGUCAAAACUGGCCCAUUAUAGUAUAGAAUUUUAAUCCUUAAACAUAUCCUAACUUAGAAAAGUAACUUUUCCCCACUUAAAUGAAAAGUAACUUUUCCCCACGUAAAUGAAGAAGAUAAUGCAACGUGGAAAACUUUCUUAGAGAUCUAUGAAAUCUCAUGUGAAAAGUAAAAAAAAAGUGAAUAUAUUUUUUAUGUACAAAUAAACCACUUUAUUAUGAAAAUCAUGGGUGAUCAAAAUAAGAAGAAUUUCUCCGUUCUUAGACCAAAAUUCUUAAUAAGUUCAACACUUUUAUCCCACUCUUUUAGGAGCUAUGUGUUUACUCUAUCCCAAAGGUCAUCUUCCCCUGAAAAAUAUUUAGAUGAAUCUUUAAUUGUGCAACCCACUCAAUUGUUCAAUCCUAAAUUGUCAUGUGAUAAAUUCUCUUUUUCUUCUUUUCAAAAUACAUUUUACUUCUUUUCUUUAGUGUGGAGUUAGUGUAAUGAUAUAAAGAUGAAAGUACUUGAAUAAUAAUGCAUUUAGUCGAGAUACUGGGGUACUGCUCCAAAGUAUUUAAAUUCCAUAUUAUUAAUUAAGCGAGGAUGAUGAGAGUGCACUAAGGGAAUAUCCAUCUGGUGUAGAUGUUCGAGGUACACCUAUUGGUCUAAAGUAUCUAUUUAAAAAAAAGUUGAAGAAGAGUUAUGUAUCAAAUACUACUAUUCAUGGCAUUCAAAUGAGCUUAUGCAACUUUAAACCAACCAGCUACGAAAUAUCAAAAAGAUUGCCUAUCAUAUGAGAGUUUGCCUAUCAUAUACAAAUUUCUAUUGGUUAGUGGUAUGAUCAGACAUUAUAUUUUCAUUUUCACAAAUAAUAUUCUUUUAAUUAUUCCUCUCCAUCCCUUUCCUAAACCCUAUAAAAUGCCAUCCAAUCUCCACAGUUUCUCCCACCACCAAUCCCUAAGCUUUUCAAAAAAAAAAAAAAACCCUGAUGGCUUCCAAAGCUACAGCCUCUCUUGCCUUCCUUCUUUCUCUCAAUCUCCUUUUCUUCACCCUUGUCUCAUCAUGUGACAAUUGCUAUGUGCCUGCCCCACCAAAGCCCGAGCCAUACCCUCCAUCUGAUUAUGGAAAGUGCCCUAAGGAUGCCCUUAAAAUCGGUGUUUGCGCCAAGCUUCUUGGCGGCCUUGUCGACCUUACCAUCGGUAAGCCACCGGUGACCCCAUGCUGCACUUUGGUUGAAGGGCUCGCUGAUCUUGAAGCUGCUGUCUGUCUUUGCACUGCCAUCAAGGCUAGCGUUUUGGGGAAAAUGAUUAAAAUCCCACUCCACCUCAGCUUGCUCCUUAACGUUUGCAACAAGAAUCUUCCCAAUGGAUUCCAAUGCUGAUUUUGGUCUCUCUUUUUUUCAUUAUGGAAUUCUUUGAGUGUGUUAUGAUGUUUUUGGUUCUAAAGUUGUCUAAGUUUUAGACUUUAUUUCAAAUUGUUGUAUGUUAUGUUUAAUUUUCUUCAUUGGAGCUAUUCUUUUUGGAGUUGAAAUGUUUCAAUAAAAUUUUUUGCCGUAUUGGUGAAUUUAUGAUUUUUAGUUUUGCAUAUAUAUAUUUGCUUUCUUAUAAACAUAUUGAGAGAACCAGUGGAAGACAACGGAUGACAAAUCUUUCUCAUAUUAAUUAAAAAACUACUACAUUCUACAACAUUUUUUUCUCUAGCUUUUGAACAAGUUUUGUUAUAUAAAACAAUUAUUUUUAGAAAAUAAAUCAUUUCAAAAUCUUAGUUUAGAACUAUAUAAAUGUAAAACAUAUUUAAAGAACAUUUUCAAUUAACCUUAAUUUCUCAAAUUUAAAUUGUUACGAAAUAUUAUAUGUGAGAUGAGAUGUCUAAAAUGAUAAUUUAAAUGAAAAAUUAAAUAGAUAAAAACCUUAAUAUUUCUAAUGUAAAUCAUCCAAAAUAAUUACUCUUAUAUUCAAGAAUAAGGGUAAAAUUCAAAUUUGUUGUAAGUUUGAUCUUAUGAAAAUUGUUAGUACUUAAAUUGGAAUAAUGGUUCAUUUCAGUUUUAUGUAAUAAUUAUUUACUCUACCAUGAAGUAACAAAAUAUAAUAUGAAAUUUAAUCUGUAAAAAUUAUAAAUAAUUAAAAUGUUAAAAUUUUAAAAUUCGAAUACUAAAUAUCAAACUAUAAUAAUUAAAAUAAUGUCUGAUUAACUUGGUCCCAUUACCAUAUAUGGCUUAAAUUUAUCAAGCCUGGAUACUGGCUGCACUUUUAGGUUUAAAACUAAAAUUUAAUUAACUUGGUAUCUUGCUUUCUAAAAGUAAAUUUCUCAUUGAUUAUUUUAAAAACCAUAACACAUCUUUAAUAUUGUGAAAUGUUAACCAAAUUUAACCACACUUUUUUAUUUUCACAAUAUUUUAAGUGGGAGAUCGGAAUUAAAAGGUCUGCCCUCGAUAAUCUCUACUAGGUUGACAUAAUUAUCUUUAACACUAGUCAUCGUCAAUCUUUCAAACCUAUACAAAAAAAUGUUAUUAUAAAAUAAAGAAAUUCGUCCAGACAAAGGAGAGAGUAAAGGGAAAGCUUUCCAAUAUAAAGCAUAAGGAUAUAAAUGAGUAACAGAUAAAACAAGAUUAGAUCAGCUCCAUUGAUCCCAUGAACAAAAGUAUGUCUUUACACACGAUUGAUAAAAUGAUCAUAUUUUAAUAUAACUUUUGAAAAGAGAUUGAUCAGACGGGAGUCAAUAAGUGCAUUCAAACAUCUUCACUGAACGGAUAUACCAUAUUGAUAAAUUGAUCACAUUCUAAUAUAUUUUUUGAAAAGAGAUUGAUUAGACUGGGAUCAAUAAGUGCAUUCAAACAUCUUCACUGAGCGGAUAUACCAUGAUAAAAGAAGAUUAUAAUUAAUCACAUUAUUAAUUAGAGGUAAGAAAAGUUUAAUUUGGUUUGCUUUGAUAAUCGAUUUAAAAAAAUGAUCAUAUCUCUGUGUUUUGUAACAUAUGAAACUUUACAAAAUAAUUUUAUAUUUUUAACCUUUUGACAAUUGUUUAAAACUCAAUAUAACAUGAUAAAUGGAAAGUUCCAAAUCCUAAACUUCUAAAAAAAAAUGAACAUCUAUGUUUCAACAAUGUGCUAUUCAACAAUGUGCUAUUGCUCAAUUUUAUGAUGCUACGCUAUUUUUUUUUAUUUUUCUAAAGAAAAAUUACACCUAACAAAUCAAUAGAUGCUUUAGAAUAUCUCUAUUGAACAUUGACGUCUUCUUCACUUCAAAAUAUAUACUUAAUAGAGAUUAAUGAAGUUCAUGAUUUUAUAUAUAAGUACAUGAUUGAGAAUCUUUGGUUGAAUUAUUUCAAAGCUAGAUGGCAAAAUCUUAAUACAUGCAUAUUAUUUUAACAUAAUUAAUUAGGAAUAUAAUCUUCAAUUUCAAUUUCAAUUUCAAUGCUAGCUAGAUGGAAAUUAUUAAAUACUAAUAAUAAUGUUGUUUAAUUUGUUGUUGAAAACUUACAUGUUAGUGGGAGUGGUGUAAAUAUGGAGUAUACUAUUAUACAAAAACCGAAAGAGAGUAUAAUAUUUGCAAGUGAAUUUAAUUAAACAUAUACACACACAUAUAUGUUUAUAAAUAUAAGACAUGUGAAACAUCCUAUCUCUCUUUUCUUUAUGCAACUUAUCAAAUUUAUUUUAUAGACUCUAUUUUACAUCUAUAAUUGUCCAUUAAUAUUCAUAUUAUAACUACAACUAAGUCCAGCCAAAUUAUUGAAUUACAUUUAAUUUGUUCAAUAUAUGUAAGCAUAGAAGAUUUUCUUGAACAUACUUCUCACGAAUAUAGAGAAAUUAAAUUGGUAUAUUCCUAUAACAGAUCAUAUAUACAUUAUUCAAUCUCCCCCACACGUUAGUUCUAAUGUUAUCACUUAUUAUUAUUAUUAUUUUGGUACAAUAAUUUGCAUGAUGAUUGACCCCGAACCAGAGAAAAGGAUAUAAAAACUAUAUUACCACUUGAACUAUUAAGUACAAGGGGGAAAAAAUAACUCAACACCUGCAACAUUAUUUCUAGAGCAGGGAGGUUGUGUAGCAAUUUUAAGAACAAUAAUUUAAGUAUAUAAUGAAUAUUUUUCAAAAAAUACAAAUAUAACAAAAUCUAUUAACAAUACUUUUAUGAUUUUCCAUUCAUAAAUUUUGAUAAAUUUUGCUAGAUUUACCAUUUUUUAAAAUGAUUUUCCAUUCAUAAAUUUUGAUAAAUUUUGCUAGAUUUACCAUUUUUUAAAAUGAUGCUAUGCAUACUAAUAUUUUCAAUCUAAUUAUUAUAUUUACAAUUAUUUUAAUUUUUUUAACAAAAUAAUAAAAGAGUGAAAUUAAGAAAUGCACCCAAAUAUCUCAAAUAUGUUUGACAUACCUUACCUUCUCAUCAAACCUUGAAAAUUAUUCUACUCUAUGUUAAAUCAUUACAUGGCCUAGGAACCUAAGAAUCUAAGAAAACAAGAACACAAUUUCCUUUUAUCCCAAAUCCCAAAAAAUCUUAAUCUCAAGUCAACAUUUAAUUUCAUAAAUUUGUUAUGUAUCCGAAGAUUGAGGGAAGAAAAUAUGGGAAAUUCCCCAUGCCAGAAAUGUCCAAAAUUAAGUUUGCAUAAACUUCAGAGCUUUAGGAAUUAAAAUCAUCACACAUGGAUGAUGGGUGAUGGGUGAUGGAUGAUGAAGUUUAAAUUAUUAGAAAAUUAACGAGAAUAUAUCAUAAUUUUCAUAUUAUUCUUCAAUAUUUUGUAUAACUUCUUCCUAUAAGGCUUGACACAAUUGACUUUUGAUAAAGAACACAAUUGCGUGAUGAAACUAUUUUGAGUAUCCUUGAAGUUUCGGUUUGUUGCGUUGGUUCCAAAUGAUCCAUAAGGUAGCAGGAAGCAACCACACAUUGAAGCGGAUGAUAUCUUUGGUGUUGAAAGAACGAUGGUGACAAAUAUUGGAGCAAAGAUCUCGAAAUGCUAUCAUUUUCAUUAAACCACCGCAAUCAAAGUUUAAACCUUCUCUAUGGUCUAACUGUCUACUUUCCAUUAAUAAUGUUAAUAAGGAGAAAAACAUCAAUAAACUCACAUGUUGCAAAGUAUAAAUUACAUUUGUGUAUGAACUUGAUAUUAAAUCAUCAAUUGAUCCAAAAACUUAAAUGGAAAAGUGAAGGUAAAUUUAAUUCUACAUCAUAUAUAUCAAACACUAAAUUCUAAACUUUCACAAACUUUCACAUGUGAAUCAUUACAACAUCAUAGAUGAGUUCAUCUAAUUUACUAAUAUAUAGCUCUAAUUUGAUCAAUCUCACAUUAGAAAUGUACCAAACUUUGCAUGAUUAAACACAACAAUACAACUGGCACAUAAAGAUAUAUAUCAAGAUCAGGUCAGCACACACAUGGGUUACCUAUCAUAUCAUAUACAAAUAUCUAGUGGUUAGUGGCAUCAAAAAUAUUUUAAAUUUCACAAAUCAUCUUUUCUUCCUUCACCCUCCCUUCCCUAAACCCUAUAAAACCCCACCCAAUCUCCCCUUUUCUCCCACCACCAAUCCCUCAAAAUCCUUUCAACUUUCAAGAGAGAUCCAUCUUGAAAAAGGAAGAAAAACAAAAACCCCUAAUGGCUUCCAAAGCUGCAGCCUCGCUUGCUUUCCUCCUCUCUCUCAAUCUCCUAUUCUUCACCUUAGUAUCAGCAUGUGACACUUGCUAUGUCCCUGCCCCACCCAAGCCCAAGCCAUGCCCUCCUACUAAACCAAACCCUCCAUCUAACUAUGGAAAGUGUCCCAAGGACACCCUUAAAAUCGGCGUCUGUGCCAAGCUUCUUGGUGGCCUCGUCGACCUUACCAUCGGCAAGCCCCCAGUGACCCCAUGUUGCACCUUGGUUCAAGGACUUGCUGAUCUUGAAGCCGCGGUCUGCCUUUGCACUGCCAUUAAGGCUAGCGUUUUAGGGAACAAGAUUAAAAUCCCACUCCACCUCAGCUUGCUCCUUAACGUUUGCAACAAGAAUCUUCCCAAUGGAUUCCAGUGCUGAUUUUAGUGUUUUUUCUAUUCUUAAAUUCUUUGAGUGUGUUUUGAUGUUUGUGGUUCCAUAGUUGUCUAAGUAUUAUAACUCAUUGCAAAGGG